RNAcentral lists this microRNA (24 nucleotides) under Glycine max (soybean). RNAcentral describes it as "gma-miR1517". The record is from miRBase by way of RNAcentral. Lineage: Eukaryota; Viridiplantae; Streptophyta; Magnoliopsida; Fabales; Fabaceae.
AGUCUUGGUCAAUGUCGUUCGAAA